This 434-nucleotide ribosomal RNA is filed under the name uncultured Roseburia sp. Its description in RNAcentral is "partial 16S ribosomal RNA". It matches the Rfam family "Bacterial small subunit ribosomal RNA", at positions 341 to 792 of the family's 1533-position model. The record is from RNAcentral. RNAcentral also lists the same sequence under 1 other name. Lineage: Bacteria; Bacillati; Bacillota; Clostridia; Lachnospirales; Lachnospiraceae.
ACGGGAGGCAGCAGUGGGGAAUAUUGCACAAUGGGGGAAACCCUGAUGCAGCGACGCCGCGUGAGUGAUGAAGUACUUCUGUACGUAAAGCUCUAUCAGCAGGGAAGAUAAUGACGGUACCUGACUAAGAAGCACCGGCUAAAUACGUGCCAGCAGCCGCGGUAAUACGUAUGGUGCAAGCGUUAUCCGGAUUUACUGGGUGUAAAGGGAGCGUAGGCGGUACGGCAAGUCUGAUGUGAAAACCCGGGGCUCAACUCCGGGAUUGCAUUGGAAACUGUCGAACUAGAGUGUCGGAGGGGUAAGUGGAAUUCCCAGUGUAGCGGUGAAAUGCGUAGAUAUUGGGAGGAACACCAGUGGCGAAGGCGGCUUACUGGACGAUUACUGACGCUGAGGCUCGAAAGCGUGGGGAGCAAACAGGAUUAGAUACCCUGGUA